CUUGACACCAUCUUAUUCAACACCUGUCUUCUGCUGAGAAGUCCUUAACUGAGGAAUCAUCUCUCCAUCUGGGCCCUGUCUGUCCCUAAGCACCCCGGCAGCCUUUUGCAGUGCCAGCAGCCCUGCCUCCUGCUUCUCCCCACCCGCGGAAGCUCCUCGUCCCUUGGCUUUGCUAUAGGUGUGAAGCAGAAGGCUCGGAGCACAAACAGCCACCCGGGGCAGCACCAAAAUGACCCGUACUCUCUGUGCCAAUUGGACAUUGCAUCCUGUCCCCAGCCAUCCAAAUCGACAAGGGCCACAAGGAUGGAGCUGGGCAAUACAGCAGAGAUUUUGGUACAAGAAACAGGACAAAGCAGGAAAUGGUGUUGAAAGCUGAAUGAAGGAAAUCUGCUCACUAUUCCUGUGGUGAAUGUAACCCAUUGAAAGUAGGCUGGUUAGAAACACCUCUGCUCUUCCAGUUGCCAACUUGACCUUUCAGAUGCCCCAAUCUGACUGGCUUCCCACGUUAUCCUAAAAAAUUACUGGGGAGCCGCAAACAGCACAGCGCUGCGUGGGAGAAGGCAGUGGGAGAUGUGGGGGAAUAAAUGUGUGCACCCGGAGAAGGGAAAAAGUGAUGCAGUGGAAAGGCUGCCCUGACCUUGGGCCAGCAAUAAGGGAGCGGCAGCCUCACUAUCUGGUGUGAACAGUGAGCAGCUCUUUUGCAGGCGCCAGGGCUCGGCUGUGGUUUUGAAU
Molecule: non-coding RNA, 732 nt
Organism: Anas platyrhynchos (mallard)
Lineage: Eukaryota; Metazoa; Chordata; Aves; Anseriformes; Anatidae
Source: RefSeq, a predicted model, not a curated record